This 242-nucleotide unclassified non-coding RNA is filed under the name Hevea brasiliensis (rubber tree). Lineage: Eukaryota; Viridiplantae; Streptophyta; Magnoliopsida; Malpighiales; Euphorbiaceae. The record is from RNAcentral.
UAGAACAAAGCAUUUUAAUGUUGAGAAGUUCUAUUACCCCUUGAAUUCUGUGUAAUCCAACUGCCAUUUUGAUUUUGCAACUGAAAUAUUGUAAAUUUACCAGCUCAUUGAUCCAUGUAAUCUUCUGCUUUAUUGCAUUUUUAUAUUCAUCGUCGUUAAGGUUAUCGCUGGAAAACUUAUAGUCAUAUUCUCAUUGACAAAUACAUGGAUCAUAAUUUACAGGUAUAGGAGGAAGAGAGAGA